This 1153-nucleotide long non-coding RNA is filed under the name Vulpes vulpes (red fox). RNAcentral's name for it is "lncRNA (ENSVVUG00000002692.1)". Lineage: Eukaryota; Metazoa; Chordata; Mammalia; Carnivora; Canidae. The record is from RNAcentral.
AUUUACUGUGGCCUGAAAACUUGUGAAUCUGGAUCUGAGGCUUAAUUAAAUGGAUCUUAAUUAUUAAUACAUUGGCAACUGAAUUUUGAGGAGCCUUCACAAGCUGUUGGGCCCAUGGAAUGGGAGGAAGCUCGUGAUGACUUUGUCUCUCCCUUUCUGGUCCUGGCGACGUUACCAUCUUUCAUCUCUCCGGUGUGCAGGCCCUGCUCUCCAGAAUAGAGCUGAGGUAAAAUUCACAUUAUAUAAAGUCCAUCAUUUGUCGACUCGUCCUGGGGUACCACUGUACCACUGUCUCUCCGCCCCAAACAGAAACCCCAUCCCUGCCAGCAGUUGCUCUGUUUCCUCUCCUCCCAGCCCUGGAAACCAGCAGGCUGCUUCUGAUCUCUGCUCUGAGCACAUGCAUAUGUACACUUGUUCUCAUGGCUCCUGAAUUACACCCAGAAGAGGAAUGGUGGGGCAUGAGGUAAUUCUAUUUCAGUGUUUGGGAACCGCGGGACCUUCCUUGGCUACAGCAGCAUCCCACAUCCCCACCAACGGUGAAGGGGGGUUCCCAGCUUGUCCACCGGCCCCGGGAGGUCACCUGCACCCCAGGCCGGGCUGUGGUCCAGGUGGAGUCAGAAGACGGGAGCCCUGAGCUGAGAGCUGGCCCAGGCGGGUUGGGCGCCCGGAGCUCCUAUGUAGCUCAGAGCCCUGACCCCUUUCCGCUGUGACAUCCUGACAGGGUGGCCGCUGAAACCCACGCUCGCUCCCCUUUCUUUUGCCCUUGUUUCUGUUCUCAGCAUUCUUGCAGCCGUCCUAACUCUUCCUCUACAUGUGGUGACUUUGGCCAGAAUUCGCUUGUGUAACACGGGGUCAGCAGAUUGGUUCCCAGGUUGAUUGGUAAUUAAAAUUAAAAGACAAGAAUUGGGCAUCCAUUGGGUGUGUGGACAUAGUUACACUUUGGGGAAGGAGUGUGAAGUCACUUCGCAGGGAAGGUGGGCACAGUUUUGGCCCAGGCCCCCUGGAGCCCCCUGCCUGAGCAGUGUCUCUGUGCCUCAGGGGAGGCCUGCCCAGCAGAGGCUGUGGCUGGAUGGCACUUCAAGGACCAGGAAUGCCAGGUGAGAUCCGGGGGGCCUCCUGCAGCCGGUAGAUGGGGGCAGCAUGAGGUUCCAGA